RNAcentral lists this ribosomal RNA (218 nucleotides) under uncultured bacterium. Its description in RNAcentral is "partial 16S ribosomal RNA". It matches the Rfam family "Bacterial small subunit ribosomal RNA", at positions 57 to 305 of the family's 1533-position model. The record is from RNAcentral.
GCAAGUCGAAUGGGUUUAGACCCAUGGCAGACGAGGUAGUAACACGUAGGUUUACGUACCCUAAAGUCAAGGAUAACCCGGAGAAAUCCGGAAUAAUACUUGAUAGUCCCUUCGUGGUAAAGUUUUAACGCUUUAGGAACGGCCUGCGGAGUAUCAGCUUGUUGGUAGUGUAAAGGACUACCAAGGCUAUGACGCUUAGUGGAGGUGAGAGCCUGACC